Long non-coding RNA from Penaeus monodon (black tiger shrimp), 2221 nucleotides. RefSeq lists it as uncharacterized. The transcript is spliced from 4 exons. The record is from RefSeq and is a predicted model, not a curated record. NCBI's taxonomy places the organism in Eukaryota, Metazoa, Arthropoda, Malacostraca, Decapoda, Penaeidae.
UUUUCAGUAGUAACAUUUCCAGGAUCAAGUUCCGUCUUCCUGAUGGAUCCUCAAGCAUAGCACAGUUUUCUUCAAGUACCACGUUGGAAGAAGUAAGACAGCAUGUGAGACAGAACAUAAAUCUUCCUUUCUCCAAUUUCACCUUGACAUCAACUGUCCAUAAUAGACCAUUUACAUCAGAGGAUAAUGACAGGUCCCUUACUGACCUUGGCCUUGUACCAUCAGCCAUCUUAAUAAUUUUAUCACAGAGCAGUAUAGGAGGCAGCGGUAGUGUUGUUCCUUCCGGUGGGAUAGUAGACUUCUUCUGGAUUCUUCUUUCUCCCAUUACAUUCCUGCUUGGUUUAGUCCGGCAACUGUUUGGUGGAAAUUCAGCACCUCGUUCUCCAUCCACUUCUGGGAGUGAUGAACCUACAGCCAAAAGAGCAAGAGAAGAAGGACCGUCGUCUACCCAACAGAGACCCCAGACGGCAUAUGGUACGCGUGCUGAAGCACGAUUGCGUAGAGAAGGUAACAUUCACCGACUCCGCAAUAAUGAUGAUGAUGAUGAUGAAAAUAAUACAUGGAAUGGUAAUUCAACCCAGCAGAUGUGAAUGAAAAUUCGUUUUUAUUCACUGCAAGACAGGUUGUAUAAUAGUUCAUCAUUUAGUCAGUGAUAUUGAUGAUAUUGGGAUAAUUUUUGUGGUAUUUUCCACUUAUAUUAUAUAUUAUAUAUGCUAAACAAACACAUAUAGGCACAGCCAGAUACAGAUACAGACAGAUAUGGAAAUAUAUGGAUCAGACAGUUGUGUAGCACUUUGAAAAUCUUGAAAAUGUUCUCUUGGUGUGUGUGUGUGUGUGUGUGUGUGUGUGUGUGUGUGUGUGUGUGUGUGUGUGUGUGUGUGUGUGUGUGUGUGUGUGUGUGUGUGUGUGUGUGUGUGUGUGUGUGUGUGUGAUGUGUGUGUGAGUGAGUGUGAUGUGUGAUGUGAGUGUGGGAGUGUGAGUGAGAGUGUGUGUGUGGGAGGGGCUGUAACUGUGUGGUAUGUGCAUGAGUGAGUGAGCGUGCCUGCGUGCGUGUGUGUAUGCAUGCAUGCGUAGGUGUGUGUGUGUAAGUGUAUGUCUGUUUUUGUAUAUAUGAAUGUGUGGGCAUGUAUGCAUACAUGAUUGCAUAUAUUUUUGUUUCUUUGAGCAUGUUUUGUGUGCAUGAAUACAUGACUGCUUGUAGAUUUGUUUUUUACAUGUAUUUGUAAUGUAUAGUUAUACAUGCACACAGAUGAUAGAUGAAUAUAUAUGCACUUCUUGUGUGCACUUAUCUAUAUAUUUAAUCAUACUGGUGGCGAAGCGAAGAAUGGUGCCCAGUGUACGGCAGGUCAAGCACGUCUGUUAAGGAGAAGUAAUGUCCCUUGCAGGGGAUGGUAACCAAGGCUAUCAGAGGUCUGCCUUUCUUCUAUAUGUUCAAAAUAUCAAUCUGUCAGUGUGAAGAGCAUUGAAUUAGCUCUGACUAAUUUUCUGCUGUGUAGGGUCUUGCAGCACCAAACUUGAACUACUCCAAAAGACAGCAUUUUAGUAUGCAUUUUUUCAAUAGCCUGUCAAGCAAUAAAGUUUCUCUGAAUGGUAUGUAGGUACCUUAAGAAGAAUCUUUAGAGCCCUUUCCAAAUUGUUAACUUUUAUAAUGAUAGCCACUUAUUUAUAACCAAAUGUUAUCACCACCUUUAAUAUUCAUAGUUGAAGUGUGUAUUUUGUGACUAUAUCAUGUUUUUUAAUGAGUCAAUUAUGAUACCGGAUAUUUAUGUUUUGCUGACUCAUUAUAUUGCAUACAAAAAAAGAAUGUAAUGGAUUAAGAUACGGGCAAGAAACUAUUGCUUUGAAUAUUGUAUUUAUUAUUAGCCUUACAUAUGAGGUUCAGGAGAUACACUAGACUUUUGAUAAUGGAAAUGGAAACUAUUAUCAUGCAAAUGAGUAAAAUAUUUUUCAGUGGUACCAAAGCUUUUUGAUUAUAGCUAAAUUGUAUUAGGUGCUGUAUCAGUGUUGAAGAUUGAUAUGAAAAUGAUUGUUAUAAGAGAUUUCCUUUUCUCUUUUUUCAGUUCCCAAAAGGGAUUGUAUUGGAAAUAAUUUUCUUGGAUUUAAAACUUAUUUGUAUUGUGCAAUAUGAUUUUUCUGUUAAGUGCUAAGGAAUGCACAUGAAUAUUUAAUUUUCCACAAUAGUUUGUUAUUGAGAUGAAAAAUAUACUCAGAGGAAAUGUAA